This is a long non-coding RNA of Dioscorea cayenensis subsp. rotundata (Guinea yam), 198 nucleotides long. RefSeq lists it as uncharacterized. Lineage: Eukaryota; Viridiplantae; Streptophyta; Magnoliopsida; Dioscoreales; Dioscoreaceae. The record is from RefSeq and is a predicted model, not a curated record. The transcript is spliced from 3 exons.
UAUCCUAUAGUGCUUGUCCAGAACCCCAUAAUCAAUAAGAAAGAGGUGUAUAAGUUGUCAAUUGGAGCUGCUUGUGGAUUGGCAUGGCCGCCGGACAGGUUCAUAAUCCAAGUGCUGGAAAUUUUACUGAAUUUAAGAGGUGUGGUACGGUGUUUAUGGAACCGAUCUUCCUACUAUUUUGGAAGUGCUUAAUUCUAG